This 416-nucleotide ribosomal RNA is filed under the name uncultured Comamonadaceae bacterium. RNAcentral's name for it is "partial 16S ribosomal RNA". It matches the Rfam family "Bacterial small subunit ribosomal RNA", at positions 338 to 746 of the family's 1533-position model. Lineage: Bacteria; Pseudomonadati; Pseudomonadota; Betaproteobacteria; Burkholderiales; Comamonadaceae. The record is from RNAcentral.
CCUACGGGAGGCAGCAGUGGGGAAUUUUGGACAAUGGGCGCAAGCCUGAUCCAGCCAUUCCGCGUGCAGGAUGAAGGCCUUCGGGUUGUAAACUGCUUUUGUACGGAACGAAAAGGCUCUGGCUAAUACCUGGGGCUCAUGACGGUACCGUAAGAAUAAGCACCGGCUAACUACGUGCCAGCAGCCGCGGUAAUACGUAGGGUGCGAGCGUUAAUCGGAAUUACUGGGCGUAAAGCGUGCGCAGGCGGUUAUGUAAGACAGAGGUGAAAUCCCCGGGCUCAACCUGGGAACUGCCUUUGGGACUGCAUGACUAGAGUACGGCAGAGGGGGAUGGAAUUCCGCGUGUAGCAGUGAAAUGCGUAGAUAUGCGGAGGAACACCGAUGGCGAAGGCAAUCCCCUGGGCCUGUACUGACGC